UCUCAUCUAGCUCAGUUGGUAGAGCACGAGACUCUUAAUCUCAGCGUCACGGGUUUGAGCCCCACGUUGAGCA
This is a non-coding RNA of Podarcis lilfordi (Lilford's wall lizard), 73 nucleotides long. NCBI's taxonomy places the organism in Eukaryota, Metazoa, Chordata, Lepidosauria, Squamata, Lacertidae. The record is from the annotation of a GenBank genome assembly.